UAUUUUUAUCUCUGAUUCGUUGAUUAUAGUGUCCCAGUGCAUACAUCGUUGCGAAUCAGUUCAAAAAUACAUCAUAAAUUAGGACACACGAACCAAUUUAUGAUUUUUAGGGGAAGAGAACGAAACAGGUAACUAUUUGUGGAUAUGCAUUGCCCAGUGAACAUGAACUCCCUCUUCAAGUAAAGCUGGCCUCCUGGAACCAAGCAAUCCAUAUAGAUGACAAGCGGUGGUGAGACUCUGUCUAAAAGCCUCCAUUUCAUGUACCAUCAAAUUUGGGAUUGAGCAUUAUUUAAGAUGUUUGGAUGUAUGUUCUGCCUUGAUUCUGCGGGCAGUACUUAUCCUUGCUUCUAUGAAUUUAUCUUAGGUGAAUUAGUCAGCUAUUGAAGGAGAGUAAGGCACUAGCUAGGUGUCCUAGCUAUCCAUGGCACGGCUUAGCUAACCAUGAUCUGGUUCUGAUAGACUAGGACCUCUAUUUCUUAUGUGGAAACUUGUGUCCCAGUCCAAGUCUGACAAGUUCAGGUUCAGCAUUGAAAGCGUGCCAUAUGAAUAGUGUCUAUACCCCUGUUUGACCCAUUUCUGAUGGUGAGAACUUAUAAAAUGUGGACAGCACUGCUUUGGUUACUUCUCUUGCACGCAUAUCUUUUGUUGCAUUAAUUAGUAUCUAUACAGGUGGCUAAUCGAAAAGCAUUUCCCCAAAAAGAAAGACAAAUUAUGGAAAUUCUAUCAAGUUUGUUCCUCUUUUGGUGCAGACAUUGAGCUUGCACAUGGUGUCUCCUAUCACAAUAUUAUUAUUCUAUAAAUAUUCUUAUGUCAUUUCCAUUUUUAAAAAAAAAUCUUGUUCAUACCUGAAUAUAUUAACAUGUUGCCUUGCCUUGCCAUAAGUUUCACUUGAUUUGCUGCUUAAAAGCUAAGUUUCAACUUUCAGACUUGGCCAAGCCGUGCUCUUCUUCUUCUUGUUUUUUAAAGCAAUUUUUUCUCUUGAGCAUCCUUUCAGGAAUUCACGUGGAUUUGCUUCCAUUGGGGAACUUUCCAACAGCUUUUCCCCAGUUCAAUAAUGCAGUGUUGAAGUAAGGAUGAUUUAGGAAGCAAGUUCAGGACAAUGCAAUCCUAAUGAAAAGGAGGUUUCUCAAGUUGAACGAGCUCAAGGGGAUGGAAACAUUGAAGCAUAUGAUUCCGCAUGAUUCGGCAAUGGAAGGGUCAGCCUAAUGGAUCGCCAUUUUAAACCAUAACCCCACUUUUGUGGGGGAUAACACUCAGAUGGCGGUGGCAGGGCGGGCUGAAAUUAAAAACUGCGUUAUCUGUCGAUGAGACUGACUGCAAGACCUAGCUGAUCGAGGUAUAUUACUGUGGCAGUGAUCACCACGUACGUAGCUGAUCUCAGUAGAAAGAGGAGACCAGAGGGCUUCGACUUUGAACUGAUUUCCCGGAUCAAUUAAUUAAAUAAAACCCUGGAUUAAGGAAGAUCUAAUAUCUGGGUUGGUAAUGAAACCUCAGCUCUCCAAUGGGCAAUCGAAAAACGAGAAAUGGAAACUGAAGAAGUUACUUAGGUAUAUAACAUAAGCAUUAGGGGUAACAGUCGUGUCCGAGAUGUGUUGUUUGAAGUUUCAUUGCUCUUAUUUACUUAUUUUAAGUGAAAACAGGUUUAGUUUGAGAAUUUGCAUUCUCUGGUAAAAUUACCGUCCUUAUAUAAGCAAGGCAUCGCAGCAAUGCUUCUCUAUCAGAUUGCCCUCCACCAGAUUGGAAUAGUUAAUGAUCGAAUAAAAAUGAUAAGAGUUGGGGGAGUUGCAGAGAGUCUUUUCACAAAAUAAAAAAUGUGUCACAAUCUGUGAUUCUCCAGUGCCAAGGGCAAGCCAUGCAUUAAGGGUAAUUUUUAUUAUUUCUACUGGUUCAUUGAUAUAUUAACUGUGGAUAUAGAUAUGUAUCUUCACUAUACUUUUUUUUUUUUUUGUGUUGAUUUAGAUUAUCGUUCAAAUGAUGAAACUGAUGUGUCCCACCAAUCUACCUCUCAAGAGAGUUAGAUGGUUAGAUGGACAUUCGAGAGAAUUUAUAAAUCUUAAAACAUGUAAGUUUUCGAAAAACUAUUCUCUCGCAACUAUUGUUGCUUCCAGUGUCAUGCAUAAUAUUUUGGACCGUGCUACUUGUACCGAUGGAAUGACAGGCUCAAUAAUCAAAUCAGAUUUCAUUUGAUGAUGAGAUUUCAUUUGAUGAUGAAAUCCGGACUUCAUUGUUCCGGCUUCAUGAAGUCCAUACGAACUUCAUCUAAAAGCGAUAGUGGCGAGGUGACGAGAUGGUGCAACGAUGGUUGGUGCAAUGCACUAUGGUAAGGCAAUGUUAGGAUACAGCAGCGAUUGCGUGAGGUGCUACAGCAAGGCGAUGAUAAAAUCUAGUGGCGAUCGUGUGAGGUGCUGCAGUGGGGCGAUGAGAGGAUGCAUCGACAAUUAACAAAGUGAAGGUGACGUGGUGAGGUAGAGUUUGCUGGAGGUGACCAUGACAGAAGAGAAAGAAGGCAACUAAAGAUAGAAGUGGUGAAUUUACAAAUUAAGUGAAGGUAUUUUUGUCAUUUGGUACCUCUAAUCAUUUUCUUAGUUAUCUAAUUAUUUGUACAAGUAGAAUUUUCUUAAUAUCUUAUGAGGGCUCCAUUAACAACAUAAGUACAACAGGAUGAGGAUGAGAUUGAUUUAAGAGGUCAAAUAUAUACAUAAUCUCUCUCAGAUAAUAGGGAGUGGGCUUGAAGCCCACAAUGAAAGGGCCAUCAGCCAUGCAUUUUCUGAAAGUCAGAUUUUCCUUUGGGCCGCUGCAGUUUUGGUUAGAGGGCUGCAGCCUGCAAGUUUGU
Diospyros lotus (date-plum) is the source of this 2833-nucleotide long non-coding RNA. RefSeq lists it as uncharacterized. The record is from RefSeq and is a predicted model, not a curated record. NCBI's taxonomy places the organism in Eukaryota, Viridiplantae, Streptophyta, Magnoliopsida, Ericales, Ebenaceae. The transcript is spliced from 3 exons.